GCACAAGCGAGGAACAUGUGGUUUAAUUCGAUGAUACGCGAGGAACCUUGCCCGGGUUUGAACGUANGGAGACAGGGGUGGAAACAUCCUUUUCAGCAAUGACUGCCUACGAGGUGCUGCAUGGUUGUCGUCAGCUCGUGCCGUGAGGUGUCGGCUUAAGUGCCAUAACGAGCGCAACCCUUAUUUUCAGUUACUAACAGGUGAUGCUGAGGACUCUGAAGAGACUGCCAGCGUAAGCUGUGAGGAAGGUGGGGAUGACGUCAAAUCAGCACGGCCCUUACAUCCGGGGCGACACACGUGUUACAAUGGUAAGGACAAAGGGCAGCUACCGGGCGACCGGAUGCGAAUCUCUAAACCUUAUCUCAGUUCGGAUCGGAGUCUGCAACUCGACUCCGUGAAGCUGGAUUCGCUAGUAAUCGCGCAUCAGCCAUGGCGCGGUGAAUACGUUCCCGGGCCUUGUACACACCGCCCGUCAAGCCAUGGGAGCACGGGGGUACCUGAAG
RNAcentral lists this ribosomal RNA (503 nucleotides) under uncultured bacterium. Its description in RNAcentral is "bacterial SSU rRNA". It matches the Rfam family "Bacterial small subunit ribosomal RNA", at positions 923 to 1426 of the family's 1533-position model. The record is from RNAcentral.